UACAGAGGGUGCGAGCGUUAAUCGGAAUUACUGGGCGUAAAGCGCAUGUAGGUGGUUUGAUAAGUCGGAUGUGAAAGCCCCGGGCUCAACCUGGGAAUUGCACUCGAUACUGUCAAGCUAGAGUAUUGUAGAGGGAAGCGGAAUUUCAGGUGUAGCGGUGAAAUGCGUAGAUAUCUGAAGGAACAUCAGUGGCGAAGGCGGCUUCCUGGACAAAUACUGACACUGAGGUGCGAAAGCGUGGGUAGCAAACAGG
This 253-nucleotide ribosomal RNA is filed under the name uncultured bacterium. Its description in RNAcentral is "partial 16S ribosomal RNA". It matches the Rfam family "Bacterial small subunit ribosomal RNA", at positions 524 to 776 of the family's 1533-position model. The record is from RNAcentral.